Molecule: long non-coding RNA, 834 nt
Organism: Gambusia affinis (western mosquitofish)
Lineage: Eukaryota; Metazoa; Chordata; Actinopteri; Cyprinodontiformes; Poeciliidae
Exons: 3
Source: RefSeq, a predicted model, not a curated record
GGCUUCUCUCGCUGAGAUAAAGCGUUUUUGGCCACUAACAGUAAAAAAGCUUAAAACUCAAAAUUUUGAACUGGUUCCACCUUCAAACAACCAGAUCUAUUGCUUCUUAUUUAAGAAAAUAAUACUUAAGCUGCAUUCAUGAAUUUCUGUAUUUGGUCGUUAUCUCUAAAAUACGUUUACUUUUUAUGUUGAAUACCAGACCUCUUUUCCACAGUUUUUUCACUUAGUUCCACGACUGCAGUGGAUUUUGUAGUCAAUGUUAAAAUCCAGCACAAAAUCUGAAGCGAUGGAGGAAAUUUACGUCAAUAUGGAACCUUUUGAACAAACUGCAUCUAAUCACACGGGUAAGAAUGAAGUUACAGAGAAAUCUAGUAUGUAUGUUAUUCAAUUUUUUCUAAUGUUAAGGUUUGGAGCAGCUCCAAAGAGAGGCUCGGCCUCGGUGUGGUCGUAUGCUUGGGAAUCCUGAAUGUUUUAAUUCUGGCUGAACUCAUAGGCCUCAGUGUACACAUUUAUGACAUGACAGCAGAUUUUUCUGACAUCUGCAACAUGCUCACCGAACAGAACAGCAAGUUUCUCUCCAUGAACUCUAACUUCACUGAAACGGCUCCACAAGCUGAAGACGCUUUAUGAACAGACAAACAUCAGUUGUUCCUGUUAAUCCAGGGGCUGCAGAAGAAGAGAAGAGCAGAUCCAGUAGUGAUGGAUGAUUAGGAUUUGUGUUCACUGUGAUAUUAUUCAUCAAUAAUAAUGUAGCUUAUUAGUAUGCUGUUACAUAAAACCAUAAAGAUAAAUUGUACACUUCCAACUGUUGUGACUUAUAAAGCAACAAUUUUA